Molecule: long non-coding RNA, 288 nt
Filed under: Gossypium barbadense (sea-island cotton)
Lineage: Eukaryota; Viridiplantae; Streptophyta; Magnoliopsida; Malvales; Malvaceae
Description: long non-coding RNA (GBAR_LNC020791)
Source: RNAcentral
UCACACCUAAAUUUGAAAAGUCUUAUGUAGUGAAAGAGUUGGGUGUAAAAUUGAAAGGUUCUCUAAUCUGGCGGGUUCUUUUUUUUAAUAAGAUCAAGUAGCGGGUUGGUUAAGGAAAAUUUGGAUUUCAACCAUAACCAGUUGGUUAUGAACCAGAAAUAAGUUAGUGGGAGACAUGAUGAUUAAGUGAUUUCCAAGUGACUAUGAAUUGGUUUUGGUGUUAGAGGUCGAAAGGACUAUAUAUAUAUGAGAAACAUUCUUCUCUUGGGUUUAUUCUUUUGUUUUUUU